UNUUACCAGAAAGGGACGGCUAANUACGUGCCAGCAGCCGCGGUAAUACGUAGNUCCCGAGCGUUGUCCGGAUUUAUUGGGCGUAAAGCGAGCGCAGGCGGUUAGAUAAGUNUGAAGUUAAAGGCUGUGGCUUANCCAUAGUACGCUUUGGAAACUGUUUAACUUGAGUGCAGAAGGGGAGAGUGGAAUUCCAUGUGUAGCGGUGAAAUGCGUAGAUAUAUGGAGGAACACCGGUGGCGAAAGCGGCUCUCUGGUCUGUAACUGACGCUGAGGCUCGAAAGCGUGGGGAGCGAACAGGAUUAGAUACCCUGGUAGUCCACGCCGUAAACGAUGAGUGCUAGGUGUUAGGCCCUUUCCGGGGCUUAGUGCCGCAGCUAACGCAUUAAGCACUCCGCCUGGGGAGUACGACCGCAAGGUUGAAACUCAAAGGAAUUGACGGGGGCCCGCACAAGCGGUGGAGCAUGUGGUUUAAUUCGAAGCAACGCGAAGAACCUUACCAGGUCUUGACAUCCCGAUGCCCGCUCUAGAGAUAGAGUUUUACUUCGGUACAUCGGUGACAGGUGGUGCAUGGUUGUCGUCAGCUCGUGUCGUGAGAUGUUGGGUUAAGUCCCGCAACGAGCGCAACCCUUAUUGUUAGUUGCCAUCAUUCAGUUGGGCACUCUAGCGAGACUGCCGGUAAUAAACCGGAGGAAGGUGGGGAUGACGUCAAAUCAUCAUGCCCCUUAUGACCUGGGCUACACACGUGCUACAAUGGCUGGUACAACGAGUCGCAAGUCGGUGACGGCAAGCUAAUCUCUUAAAGCCAGUCUCAGUUCGGAUUGUAGGCUGCAACUCGCCUACAUGAAGUCGGAAUCGCUAGUAAUCGCGGAUCAGCACGCCGCGGUGAAUACGUUCCCGGGCCUUGUACACACCGCCCGUCACACCACGAGAGUUUGUAACACCCGAAGUCGGUGAGGUAACCUUU
This 964-nucleotide ribosomal RNA is filed under the name uncultured bacterium. RNAcentral describes it as "bacterial SSU rRNA". It matches the Rfam family "Bacterial small subunit ribosomal RNA", at positions 478 to 1443 of the family's 1533-position model. The record is from RNAcentral.